Molecule: ribosomal RNA, 2769 nt
Filed under: Rhagovelia sp. 2 AC-2018
Lineage: Eukaryota; Metazoa; Arthropoda; Insecta; Hemiptera; Veliidae
Description: partial 28S ribosomal RNA
Rfam family: Eukaryotic large subunit ribosomal RNA
Source: RNAcentral
CCAACGUGUGCGCGAGUCUCUGGGUUAUCAAACCCAAAGGCGUAAUCAAGGUGAAGGGGAAUUACCUCUUCCCCCAGGGAGGACGGGGGCUUGCUCUUCACGGGCGGCCCUCCGCACUCCCGGGGCGUCUCGCGCUCAUUGCGAGUGGAGGCGCACCUAGAGCGUUCACGUUGGGACCCGAAAGAUGGUGAACUAUGCCUGGCCAGGACGAAGCCAGGGGAAACCCUGGUGGAGGUCCGUAGCGGUUCUGACGUGCAAAUCGAUCGUCAAAUUUGGGUAUAGGGGCGAAAGACUAAUCGAACCAUCUAGUAGCUGGUUCCCUCCGAAGUUUCCCUCAGGAUAGCUGUCGCCCAUGUUGAGACGAGUCUCAUCUGGUAAAGCGAAUGAUUAGAGGCAUUGGGGUCGAAACGACCUCAACCUAUUCUCAAACUUUAAAUGGAUGAGAACCCCGACUUGCUUGACUUGUUGAGUGAAGUCGGGGCUCGGAUCCGGGCCACAAGUGGGCCAAUUUUGGUAAGCAGAACUGGCGCUGUGGGAUGAACCAAACGCCGAGUUAAGGCGCCUAAAUCGACGCUCAUCAGACACCAUGAAAGGCGUUGGUUGCUUAAAAGUGGCGCUUUAGGUGGGCGAAAGGGAAUCCGGUCUCUAUUCCGGAACCUGGCCAGCGGUACCGUUCCAAGUCGGGCCCUCAGACGAGGACUCGUCGGGGUAACCAUAAAGGACCCGGAGAAGCCGUCGGGAGAUCCAGGGAGAGUUGUCUCUUCUCUAUAAGCAAUCGAGUUCCCUGAAAAUCUCUCGCAGAGAGAUAGGGUUCGGAGCGCAAAGAGCACCGCAGUUACGGCGGUGUCUGGAUCUUCCCCUCGGACCUUGAAAAUUCGGGUGAGGGCUACGAGGAACACCGCGCCAGACCGUACCCAUAUCCGCAGCAGGUCUCCAAGGUCAAAAGCCUCUAGUCGUUAGAAUAAUGUGGGUAAGGGAAGUCGGCAAACUGGAUCCGUAACCUUGGGAUAAGGAUUGGCUCUGAGGAACGUGGUGAGCCGGGCUUGGUUGGGAAGUGGAGCGGUGUCAACGAUCCGGGCCUGGGCGAGGAGAAGCGGGGGAAAACAAGUCGUUUGUUCGGCGUGUUUUUUUUCCCGACGAUCCUCCGCUCGGUCCCGCGACUUGGCCACCCACGGACCUUCCUUGCUGCGAGCUGCAGGCCGCCUAGCCACCGGUUUCGACCGGAGGGCGGGCCUGCUGUCUCUUCGGCCACCGAUUAACGUUCGGCUCAGAACUGGCACUGACCAGGGGAAUCCGACUGUCUAAUUAAAACAAAGCAUUGCGAUGGCCCCAGCGGGUGUUGACGCAAUGUGAUUUCUGCCCAGUGCUCUGAAUGUCAACGUGAAGAAAUUCAAUAAAGCGCGGGUAAACGGCGGGAGUAACUAUGACUCUCUUAAGGUAGCCAAAUGCCUCGUCAUCUAAUUAGUGACGCGCAUGAAUGGAUUAACGAGAUUCCCGCUGUCCCUACUUACUAUCUAGCGAAACCACAGCCAAGGGAACGGGCUUGGAAAAAUCAGUGGGGAAAGAAGACCCUGUUGAGCUUGACUCUAGUCUGGAACUGUAAGGAGACAUGAGAGGUGUAGCAUAAGUGGGAGGUGUUGCUCGUCUUCACCGACAGUGAAAUACCACUACUUUCAUAGUUUCCUUACUUACUCGGUGAGGCGGAGGGCGUCCGUCGCUGGCCUCCCGGCCACGGCGAGACGGUCUUCUUGCGCCAAGCGCGGGGGUUGGCGCCUGCCUCCUGUAGCGUCGGUUUCCCGGCUGGUCGCGAGAGCCUUGCAGGUUCUAACGGCCCGAGUGGAAGUCCGGCGCGAUCCAGGAGCGUUUGGUUAGCCAACGUACUCCUCGGCGUGAUCCGAUCCGAGGACACUUCCAGGUCGAUAGUUUGACUGGGGCGGUACAUCUGUCAAACAAUAACGCAGGUGUCCUAAGGCCAGCUCAGCGAGGACAGAAACCUCGCGUAGAGCAAAAGGGCAAAAGCUGGCUUGAUCCCGAUGCUCAGUACGCAUAGGGACUGCGAAAGCACGGCCUAUCGAUCCUUUUGGCUUGGAGAGUUUCCAGCAAGAGGUGUCAGAAAAGUUACCACAGGGAUAACUGGCUCGUGGCGGCCAAGCGUUCAUAGCGACGUCGCUUUUUGAUCCUUCGAUGUCGGCUCUUCCUAUCAUUGCGGAGCAGAAUCCGCCAAGCGUCGGAUUGUUCACCCGCCAAUAGGGAACGUGAGCUGGGUUUAGACCGUCGUGAGACAGGUUAGUUUUACCCUUCUGAUGACUAAAACAUUUCAUUGCAACGGUAAUCCUGCUCAGUACGAGAGGAACCGCAGAUUCGGACAUUUGGUUAUGCACUCGGUCGACAGGCCGGUGGUGCCAGGCUAUCAUCCGCGGGAUUAUGCCUGAACGCCUCUAAGGCCGAAUCCCGCCUGAUAGCCCUGACACUUUUAGGGGUCCCAUGGGUCGAAAGGCUCAAACCAAUGUGAAACUGUAGGUGGUCCCGGUUCGUCCGGGCCAUCGCACGAGCCAUAUUACCGGAGGGGUCCUCGCGCGGGUUUUCCCCGGACUAGAGUCCGGGAAAACCCCGACCUCACCGGCUAACAUGGGUCACCCUAACGGGAGUUCGAUGUUGGGACCCGGAGCCGUCUGUAGACGACUUAGGUACCGACGCGGGGUGUUGUACUCGGUAGAGCAGUUACCACGCUGCGAUCUGUUGAGACUUCUCCCCGGCUCGGUGGUUCGG